Small RNA from Streptomyces sp., 293 nucleotides. It matches the Rfam family "5' ureB small RNA". The record is from Rfam. NCBI's taxonomy places the organism in Bacteria, Bacillati, Actinomycetota, Actinomycetes, Kitasatosporales, Streptomycetaceae.
CGGCCCCGACCGCCUGCGGACAGAUGAAGUGGACGUGGGCGUCGACGGCCCCCGCCGUGAGGAUCCGUCCGUUGCCCGCGAUGAUCUCCGUCUCGGGCCCGAUCACGAGGUCGGGGUGGACCCCGUCCAUGGUGUCGGGGUUGCCGGCCUUGCCGAUGCCGGUGAUCCGGCCGUCGCGGAUGCCGACGUCCGCCUUGACGACGCCCCAGUGGUCGAGGAUCAGCGCCCCGGUGAUCACGGUGUCCGGGGCGCCCUCGGCGCGGGUGGCCCGGGACUGGCCCAUCGACUCGCGG